This 541-nucleotide unclassified non-coding RNA is filed under the name Meyerozyma caribbica. RNAcentral describes it as "sequence contains 28S rRNA gene". It matches the Rfam family "Eukaryotic large subunit ribosomal RNA", at positions 99 to 657 of the family's 3401-position model. The record is from RNAcentral. Lineage: Eukaryota; Fungi; Ascomycota; Pichiomycetes; Serinales; Debaryomycetaceae.
CGGCAAAAGCUCAAAUUUGAAAUCUGGCACCUUCGGUGUCCGAGUUGUAAUUUGAAGAUUGUAACCUUGGGGUUGGCUCUUGUCUAUGUUUCUUGGAACAGGACGUCACAGAGGGUGAGAAUCCCGUGCGAUGAGAUGCCCAAUCCUAUGUAAGGUGCUUUCGAAGAGUCGAGUUGUUUGGGAAUGCAGCUCUAAGUGGGUGGUAAAUUCCAUCUAAAGCUAAAUAUUGGCGAGAGACCGAUAGCGAACAAGUACAGUGAUGGAAAGAUGAAAAGAACUUUGAAAAGAGAGUGAAAAAGUACGUGAAAUUGUUGAAAGGGAAGGGUUUGAGAUCAGACUCGAUAUUUUGUGAGCCUUGCCUUCGUGGCGGGGUGACCCGCAGCUUAUCGGGCCAGCAUCGGUUUGGGCGGUAGGAUAAUGGCGUAGGAAUGUGACUUUGCUUCGGUGAAGUGUUAUAGCCUGCGUUGAUGCUGCCUGCCUAGACCGAGGACUGCGAUUUUAUCAAGAUGCUGGCAUAAUGAUCCCAAACCGCCCGUCUUGA